This 410-nucleotide ribosomal RNA is filed under the name uncultured bacterium. RNAcentral's name for it is "bacterial SSU rRNA". It matches the Rfam family "Bacterial small subunit ribosomal RNA", at positions 355 to 774 of the family's 1533-position model. The record is from RNAcentral.
UCGAGAAUCUUCGGCAAUGGGCGAAAGCCUGACCGAGCGACGCCGCGUGGAGGACGAAGGCCUUCGGGUUGUAAACUCCUGUCGAGGGGGAGGAAGGGGAAACCUUGACCGAUCCCUGGAGGAAGCACGGGCUAAGUUCGUGCCAGCAGCCGCGGUAAGACGAACCGUGCAAACGUUAUUCGGAAUCACUGGGCUUAAAGCGCGUGUAGGCGGAUGGGAACGUCGGUUACUGAAAGCCCCCGGCUCAACCGGGGAACGUGUGCCGAAACGGCCCGUCUGGAGGGACGUAGGGGGAUCUGGAACUUCCGGUGGAGCGGUGAAAUGCGUUGAGAUCGGAAGGAACGCCCGUGGCGAAAGCGAGAUCCUGGACGUCUGCUGACGCUGAGACGCGAAAGCUAGGGGAGCAAACG